GGAAGUGCAGACAAGCUGGCUGGGACAUCUGUCACAGUGCUGAUGGCCAGCGUGGAUUUGGCUGGUCCAGCUGGCUGGGUGUGGCACCCUGUGUUUUCCUAGCACUCCUCC
Molecule: unclassified non-coding RNA, 111 nt
Organism: Chinchilla lanigera (long-tailed chinchilla)
Lineage: Eukaryota; Metazoa; Chordata; Mammalia; Rodentia; Chinchillidae
Gene: 7SK
Rfam family: 7SK RNA
About the family: 7SK was discovered as an abundant small nuclear RNA in the mid-70s but a possible function has only recently been suggested. Two independent studies have found that 7SK RNA binds the CDK9/cyclin T complex (known as elongation factor P-TEFb).
Source: Ensembl